AAUUUUAUCUUUUUUUUUUUUUUUGGGUACUGAAGAAAGUAGAUAAGCCUGUUUUCUUUCUAUGAGGUUUGAAUUUGUUUGUCUACAGCUCUUCCACUUCUUUAAUGCUAAUCACAUGCGACAACUUUCUAUGAGCUAUUUUAUUUAUGUGUGAACUUUACCUCUUCUGUGUGAAUUUGUUAUGAAAUGUGACUUUGAUCUAUCAAUGGAGUUGGUUAAAACAUUGCACAUUAUGCUUUUCAUAAUGCAUGAUCUCAUCUCUCAUUGUGUAUUAUGUGAGACCCAUCAGUGAUCUUGCUUGCUAUCUUUUAGGUUUGUGCAAGAAA
Molecule: unclassified non-coding RNA, 326 nt
Filed under: Hevea brasiliensis (rubber tree)
Lineage: Eukaryota; Viridiplantae; Streptophyta; Magnoliopsida; Malpighiales; Euphorbiaceae
Source: RNAcentral